Molecule: ribosomal RNA, 254 nt
Filed under: uncultured bacterium
Lineage: Bacteria
Description: partial 16S ribosomal RNA
Rfam family: Bacterial small subunit ribosomal RNA
Source: RNAcentral
UACGGAGGGGGCUAGCGUUGUUCGGAAUUACUGGGCGUAAAGCGCACGUAGGCGGCUUUGUAAGUUAGAGGUGAAAGCCCAGGGCUUAACCCUGGAAUUGCCUUUAAGACUGCAUCGCUUGAAUCGUGGAGAGGUGAGUGGAAUUCCGAGUGUAGAGGUGAAAUUCGUAGAUAUUCGGAAGAACACCAGUGGCGAAGGCGACUCACUGGACACGUAUUGACGCUGAGGUGCGAAAGCGUGGGGAGCAAACAGGG